RNAcentral lists this ribosomal RNA (468 nucleotides) under uncultured bacterium. Its description in RNAcentral is "partial 16S ribosomal RNA". It matches the Rfam family "Bacterial small subunit ribosomal RNA", at positions 28 to 507 of the family's 1533-position model. The record is from RNAcentral.
GACGAACGCUGGCGGCGUGCUUAACACAUGCAAGUCGAACGGAAAGGCCCUGCUUUUGUGGUGUUCUCGAGUGGCGAACGGGUGAGUAACACGUGAGUAACCUGCCCUUGACUUUGGGAUAACUUCAGGAAACUGGGGCUAAUACCGGAUAGGAGCUCCUGCUGCAUGGUGGGGGUUGGAAAGUUUCGGCGGUUGGGGAUGGACUCGCGGCUUAUCAGCUUGUUGGUGGGGUAGUGGCUUACCAAGGCUUUGACGGGUAGCCGGCCUGAGAGGGUGACCGGCCACAUUGGGACUGAGAUACGGACCAGACUCCUACGGGAGGCAGCAGUGGGGAAUAUUGCACAAUGGGCGGAAGCCUGAUGAAGCAACGCCGGGUGCGGGAUGACGGCCUUCGGGUUGUAAACCGCUUUCGCCUGUGACGAAGCGUGAGUGACGGUAAUGGGUAAAGAAGCACCGGCUAACUACGUG